CGAGGUGAGUAACGCGUGGGUGACCUGCCCCAUACCGGGGGAUAACAGCUGGAAACGGCUGCUAAUACCGCAUAAGCGCACAGAGCUGCAUGGCUCGGUGUGAAAAACUCCGGUGGUAUGGGAUGGGCCCGCGUCUGAUUAGGCAGUUGGCGGGGUAACGGCCCACCAAACCGACGAUCAGUAGCCGGCCUGAGAGGGCGACCGGCCACAUUGGGACUGAGACACGGCCCAA
RNAcentral lists this ribosomal RNA (232 nucleotides) under uncultured bacterium. RNAcentral describes it as "partial 16S ribosomal RNA". It matches the Rfam family "Bacterial small subunit ribosomal RNA", at positions 105 to 334 of the family's 1533-position model. The record is from RNAcentral.